UGGGCAAUCUGCCCUUCACUCUGGGACAAGCCCUGGAAACGGGGUCUAAUACCGGAUAACACUCUGUCCCGCAUGGGACGGGGUUAAAAGCUCCGGCGGUGAAGGAUGAGCCCGCGGCCUAUCAGCUAGUUGGUGGGGUGAUGGCUUACCAAGGCGACGACGGGUAGCCGGCCUGAGAGGGCGACCGGCCACACUGGGACUGAGACACGGCCCAGACUCCUACGGGAGGCAG
This 232-nucleotide ribosomal RNA is filed under the name uncultured bacterium. RNAcentral's name for it is "partial 16S ribosomal RNA". It matches the Rfam family "Bacterial small subunit ribosomal RNA", at positions 118 to 351 of the family's 1533-position model. The record is from RNAcentral.